Molecule: ribosomal RNA, 647 nt
Filed under: uncultured Actinomycetes bacterium
Lineage: Bacteria; Bacillati; Actinomycetota; Actinomycetes
Description: bacterial SSU rRNA
Rfam family: Bacterial small subunit ribosomal RNA
Source: RNAcentral
CGCGGCCUAUCAGCUUGUUGGUGGGGUGAUGGCCUACCAAGGCGACGACGGGUAGCCGGCCUGAGAGGGCGACCGGCCACACUGGGACUGAGACACGGCCCAGACUCCUACGGGAGGCAGCAGUGGGGAAUAUUGCACAAUGGGCGCAAGCCUGAUGCAGCGACGCCGCGUGGGGGAUGACGGCCUUCGGGUUGCAAACCUCUUUCGCCAGGGACGAAGCCUUUUGGGGUGACGGUACCUGGAGAAGAAGCACCGGCUAACUACGUGCCAGCAGCCGCGGUAAUACGUAGGGUGCGAGCGUUGUCCGGAAUUAUUGGGCGUAAAGAGCUCGUAGGCGGUUUGUCGCGUCGGCCGUGGAAACUGGAGGCUUAACCUUCAGCGUGCGGUCGAUACGGGCAGACUUGAGUUCGGUAGGAGAGUCUGGAAUUCCUGGUGUAGCGGUGAAAUGCGCAGAUAUCAGGAGGAACACCGGUGGCGAAGGCGGGACUCUGGGCCGAUACUGACGCUGAGGAGCGAAAGCGUGGGGAGCGAACAGGAUUAGAUACCCUGGUAGUCCACGCUGUAAACGUUGGGCGCUAGGUGUGGGUGACAUUCCACGUUGUCCGUGCCGUAGCUAACGCAUUAAGCGCCCCGCCUGGGGAGUACGG